This 264-nucleotide ribosomal RNA is filed under the name uncultured bacterium. Its description in RNAcentral is "partial 16S ribosomal RNA". It matches the Rfam family "Bacterial small subunit ribosomal RNA", at positions 793 to 1055 of the family's 1533-position model. The record is from RNAcentral.
GUCCACGCCGUAAACGAUGGGUGCUAGGUGUGGGAGGUGUCGACUCCUCCCGUGCCGCAGCUAACGCAUUAAGCACCCCGCCUGGGGAGUACGGCCGCAAGGCUAAAAACUCAAAAGGAAUUGACGGGGGCCCGCACAAGCAGCGGAGCAUGUUGUUUAAUUCGAUGCGACGCGAAGAACCUUACCAGGGCUUGACAUGCACCGGAAAUCCGUAGAAAUACGGCCCUCUUCGGGACCGGUGCACAGGUGGUGCAUGGCUGUCGU